AUUGAACGCUAGCGGGAUGCCUUACACAUGCAAGUCGAACGGAGUGGCGAACGGGUGAGUAAUGUAUCGGAACGUGCCCAGUAGCGGGGGAUAACUACGCGAAAGCGUAGCUAAUACCGCAUACUAUUGGAGCGGCCGAUAUCGGAUUAGCUAGUUGGUGGGGUAACGGCUCACCAUGGCGACGAUCCGUAGCUGGUUUGAGAGGACUACCAGCCACACGGGGACGGAGACAUGGCCCAGUCUCCUACGGGAGGCAGCAGUGGGUAAUUUUGGACAAUGGGGGAAACACUGAUCCAGCCAUCCCGCGUGUAUGAAGAAGGACUUCGGGUUGUAAAGUACUUUCAGCGAGGAGGCGUUACUCGCAGAAGAAGCACCGGCUAACUCCGUGCCAGCAGCCGCGGUAAUUC
This 407-nucleotide ribosomal RNA is filed under the name uncultured bacterium. Its description in RNAcentral is "partial 16S ribosomal RNA". It matches the Rfam family "Bacterial small subunit ribosomal RNA", at positions 30 to 526 of the family's 1533-position model. The record is from RNAcentral.